Molecule: ribosomal RNA, 1405 nt
Filed under: uncultured Rhizaria
Lineage: Eukaryota
Description: SSU rRNA
Rfam family: Eukaryotic small subunit ribosomal RNA
Source: RNAcentral
CGGAGAGGGCGCAUGAGAAACGGCUACCACUUCUAAGGAAGGCAGCAGGCGCGCAAAUUACCCAAUCCUGACUCAGGGAGAUAGUGACAAGAAAUAACAAUAAACCGGCUUAUGCCGGUUUAAUUGGAAUGAGUACAAUUUAAACAUCUUAACGAGGGACAACUGGAGGGCAAGUCUGGUGCCAGCAGCCGCGGUAAUUCCAGCCCCAAUAGCGUAUACUAAAGUUGUUGCAGUUAAAAAGCUCGUAGUUGGAUUUCUGCGGGGACGGAGCGGCCGGUCGCAACUUGCGACUCGAGCUAGCGCUUUCCCCGCAUCCUGCCGCGAACCGUGCUACCAUUAGUUUGGUGGCGCUGGGGAUCGGCUCGAUUACUUUGAGAAAAAUAGAGUGUUCGAAGCAGGCCACACGCCUUGAAUAAGUUGGCAUGGAAUAAUGACUAAGGACUUUGGUUCUUUUCGUUGGUGUUCGGGACUGAAGUAAUGAUUGAUAGGGACAGUUGGGGCGGUCCGUAUUCCAAAGCGAGAGGUGAAAUUCUUAGACCUUCGGAAGACGAACAGCUGCGAAAGCGUUCCGCAAGGAUGUUCCCUUUGAUCAAGAACGAAAGUUGGGGGAUCGAAGACGAUCAGAUACCGUCGUAGUCUCAACUAUAAACUAUACCAGCUAGGGAUCGGCCAACGUUUAAUUAUUCGACUUGGUCGGCACCUUAUGAGAAAUCAAAGCCUGGGUUCCGGGGGGAGUAUGGUCGCAAGGCUGAAACUUAAAGGAAUUGACGGAAGGGCACCACCAGCCGUGGAGCCUGUGGCUUAAUUUGACUCAACACGGGAAAACUUACCAGGUCCAGACAUAGGAAGGAUUGACAGAUUGAUAGCUCUUUCUUGAUUCUGUGGGUGGUGGUGCAUGGCCGUUUUUAGUUGGUGGAGUGAUUUGUCUGCUUAAUUGCGUUAACGAACGAGACCCCAGCCUGCUAAAUAGCGCGGCCGAGCUUUGCUCGGUGCGAGCUUCUUAGAGGGACCAUGAUGCGCGAUAGCACAAGGAAGUUUGGGGCAACAACAGGUCUGUGAUGCCCUUAGAUGUUCUGGGCCGCACACGGGCUACACUGGCGCCUGCAACGAGCAUAUCAGCUGGCCCGAGAGGGUCUUGGCUAAUCUUUUGAACCGGCGCCGUGCUUGGGAUUGACCUUUGCAAUUGUUGGUCAUGCAACGAGGAAUGCCUUGUAAACGCGAGUCAUCAGCUCGCAUUGAAUACGUCCCUGCCCUUUGUACACACCGCCCGUCGCUCCUACCGAUGAAUGUUCCGAUGAAAUUUUCGGAGAGCGCCAGAGAACGGGGCUCUGCCUUGCAGAUCUGGAGGCUCAAAGUCACUUAAAUCUGAACAUUUCGAGGAAGGAGAAGUCGUAACAAGGUAACC